RNAcentral lists this ribosomal RNA (440 nucleotides) under uncultured bacterium. RNAcentral describes it as "partial 16S ribosomal RNA". It matches the Rfam family "Bacterial small subunit ribosomal RNA", at positions 338 to 795 of the family's 1533-position model. The record is from RNAcentral.
CCUACGGGAGGCAGCAGUAGGGAAUAUUGCUCAAUGGGGGAAACCCUGAAGCAGCAACGCCGCGUGGAGGAUGAAGGUUUUCGGAUUGUAAACUCCUUUUGUUAGAGAAGAUAAUGACGGUAUCUAACGAAUAAGCACCGGCUAACUCCGUGCCAGCAGCCGCGGUAAUACGGAGGGUGCAAGCGUUACUCGGAAUCACUGGGCGUAAAGAGCGCGUAGGCGGGAUAGCAAGUCAGAUGUGAAAUCCUAUGGCUUAACCAUAGAACUGCAUUUGAAACUGUUAUUCUAGAGUAUGGGAGAGGUAGGUGGAAUUCUUGGUGUAGGGGUAAAAUCCGUAGAGAUCAAGAGGAAUACUCAUUGCGAAGGCGACCUGCUAGAACAUAACUGACGCUGAGGCGCGAAGGCGAGGGGAGCGAACGGGAUUAGAUACCCGAGUAGUC